ACUAUCCGUACCCGUUCCAAAUCCGUUUAACAAUACCCGUACAAUACCCGAACCCGACCGAACCCGAUUUUUUUAAAUUCAAUUCAAUGAAAAAAAUUUAAAAAUUUAGAUCUGAUAACCCAAAUAUCAAACCCUGAAUUAAAAGUACAACCUGAAUAUCAACCUCAAUUAUCUAUUCAAAGUAAAACUAUCCCUAAGAUAUGCACAAUCCAGCAGUAGAAAUAUUGGAGAAAUACCCAGCAGUAGAAAUAUUGGAGAACAAUAAUCAAAUAGCAAAUAUCCAAAUAAUCAAAUUAAUAGUUCAUAAAUUCUAAAAUUCUUUAAUAGCAACUAAAAAUUCUUUAACAAUAUGCACAUAAAAGAUCUUGAUUAUUAAAAAAUUUGAUUGCAAACCUGAAGAGAAUUCCAGCCAAAGGAGAUGUCACCGACGCCGAUUGUGGAGAGGCAAGGGUUAUCUCCAGCAGUCAUCGGUGAAGUGGGGGAGAGGAAAGAGUUGUCUCCAACUGAGAAGUGGGAGAUGUGGCCACUGGAGAGAGAGAAUGAGAUAUCGGGAGAGAGAAGAUUUAUCAUCGACUGGGGAGAGAAAGGAGACAUCGCCAGUGUCGAUUGGGCUGCCGACACUCGUCAGUGAAAUGGGGGAGAGAGGCGUUGACUGGAAAGUGGGACUGUGAGAGAUGU
RNAcentral lists this long non-coding RNA (678 nucleotides) under Manihot esculenta (cassava). RNAcentral's name for it is "long non-coding RNA (MESC_LNC006774)". The record is from RNAcentral. Lineage: Eukaryota; Viridiplantae; Streptophyta; Magnoliopsida; Malpighiales; Euphorbiaceae.